This 459-nucleotide ribosomal RNA is filed under the name uncultured bacterium. RNAcentral's name for it is "partial 16S ribosomal RNA". It matches the Rfam family "Bacterial small subunit ribosomal RNA", at positions 339 to 795 of the family's 1533-position model. The record is from RNAcentral.
CUACGGGGUGCUGCAGUGAGGAAUAUUGGUCAAUGGGCGCGAGCCUGAACCAGCCAUCCCGCGUGCAGGAUGACGGCCCUAUGGGUUGUAAACUGCUUUUCUAUGCCAAGAAACCUGAUUACGUGUAAUCAGUUGCCGGUAGCAUAGGAAUAAGCAUCGGCUAACUCCGUGCCAGCAGCCGCGGUAAUACGGAGGAUGCAAGCGUUAUCCGGAUUCAUUGGGUUUAAAGGGUGCGCAGGUGGGCGUGUAAGUCAGUGGUGAAAUGCUGCCGCUUAACGGUAGAACUGCCAUUGAUACUGCGAGUCUUGAGUAUGGUUGAGGUAGGCGGAAUGUGUUGUGUAGCGGUGAGAUGCAUAGAUAUGACACAGAACGCCAAUUGCGAAGGCAGCUUACUAAGCCAUUACUGACGCUGAGGCACGAAAGCGUGGGGAGCGAACAGGAUUAGAUACCCUCGUAGUC